RNAcentral lists this transfer RNA (73 nucleotides) under Sceloporus scalaris (bunch grass lizard). Its description in RNAcentral is "tRNA-Ile". It matches the Rfam family "tRNA". From Rfam's summary of the family: Transfer RNA (tRNA) molecules are approximately 80 nucleotides in length. The record is from RNAcentral. Lineage: Eukaryota; Metazoa; Chordata; Lepidosauria; Squamata; Phrynosomatidae.
GGAUGUGUGCCUGAACGCCUUAAGGAUUACUUUGAUAGAGUAAAACAUAGAGGUUUAAAUCCUCUCACCUCCU